UUAAUGGAUUAGAUUAUCAUGAUAAAAGCGAAAAAGUUAUUCUCACAACGUGAAUUCAUGUAACAAAAUACACACAAAUGUUAAACAUCAAUAUAUCUCAUAAAUAUAAAUUAAUAAUAACAACAUAAAAGUAAAACUUAACCGCACAUGGCACGGAUCGUAUUCUAGUCCCUUAUUAAAUAUAGCUUUGUAUUGAUGUGUUUAGUUCUCUCAUGAAAUCAUCCUUUCUUUGCUAAGUGUAUAUUAAUAUGCUAGUUUGAGAACACCUUUACAUCGUUCAGUAUCAUA
RNAcentral lists this long non-coding RNA (288 nucleotides) under Brassica napus (rape). RNAcentral describes it as "long non-coding RNA (BNAP_LNC027121)". Lineage: Eukaryota; Viridiplantae; Streptophyta; Magnoliopsida; Brassicales; Brassicaceae. The record is from RNAcentral.